GGUUGUAUUAAAUCUUCCCUUUGUGUUGCAGUUUUUGUAAGCAACCAUUUGUAAUCGCUUUUAGCAGAAUAUACCCUUGUAUUAUCCCCUCUCCAAAUCCUGAUAUCCUUGAUGUCAACUCCAGCAAUUGGGAUAGUUUGGAUUCAAUUUGCUUGCUCCUCAUCAAAGAUUUUUCUUUAGGACAUCUAUUCUACAGGUACAUUGAUCAAAAUUAAUUAAAUCUGCUACCACUGUAUAAUUGAUAUUGAUGUUCUGACCCACUAUUUUCCUUGUCCAGGUCUCGGAAGCCAAGCUUCAUUCCAAAUGUUAAUUGUUUUUCCAUUCCUCACUCUUCACCCUAAUCCUACUUCCAACAGCCCUCGCGCACACCAUAUGCUUC
This 379-nucleotide long non-coding RNA is filed under the name Gossypium barbadense (sea-island cotton). Its description in RNAcentral is "long non-coding RNA (GBAR_LNC004226)". Lineage: Eukaryota; Viridiplantae; Streptophyta; Magnoliopsida; Malvales; Malvaceae. The record is from RNAcentral.